Molecule: ribosomal RNA, 447 nt
Filed under: uncultured bacterium
Lineage: Bacteria
Description: bacterial SSU rRNA
Rfam family: Bacterial small subunit ribosomal RNA
Source: RNAcentral
UGGGGAAUUUUGGGCAAUGGGCGAAAGCCUGACCCAGCAACGCCGCGUGAAGGAUGAAGUAUUUCGGUAUGUAAACUUCGUAAGAAUAGGAAGAAUAAAUGACGGUACUAUUUGUAAGGUCCGGCUAACUACGUGCCAGCAGCCGCGGUAAUACGUAGGGACCAAGCGUUGUUCGGAUUUACUGGGCGUAAAGGGCGCGUAGGCGGCGUGGUAAGUCAUCUGUGAAAUCUCCGAGCUUAACUCGGAACGGUCAGAUGAUACUGCUGUGCUAGAGUACAGAAGGGGCAAUCGGAAUUCUUGGUGUAGCGGUGAAAUGCGUAGAUAUCAAGAGGAACACCUGAGGUGAAGACGGGUUGCUGGGCUGAUACUGACGCUGAGGCGCGAAAGCUAGGGUAGCAAACGGGAUUAGAUACCCGUGUAGUCCCUGAGCGGGCUGGCAAGGCGCAU